This 93-nucleotide transfer RNA is filed under the name Methylobacterium cerastii. Its description in RNAcentral is "tRNA-Ala". Lineage: Bacteria; Pseudomonadati; Pseudomonadota; Alphaproteobacteria; Hyphomicrobiales; Methylobacteriaceae. The record is from RNAcentral.
CGCGCGCGUCGCCGGGCGGAACGGCGCCGGCCUGGCGCGGCGGCUGGCGGAGGCGUUGCAGGGCGAGGCCCGGUUCGACGCCUUCACGCGCGG